This 125-nucleotide small RNA is filed under the name Marmota monax (woodchuck). The record is from RNAcentral. Lineage: Eukaryota; Metazoa; Chordata; Mammalia; Rodentia; Sciuridae.
GCCAGGCAUGAUGGCGCAUGCCUGUAAUCCCAGCAGCUCGGGAGGCUGAGGCAGGAGGAUCCAGAGUUCAAAGCCAGCCUCAGCAAUGGUGAGGCACUAAGCAACCCAGUGAAACCCUGUCUCUA